UGAGAAUCGUGCUUCGGCGUGUCAGGAGAAAAGAAAUGGGCCGCUCCAAUUCUAGAUCACAUUCUUCAAGAUCCAAGUCUAGAUCACAGUCUAGUUCUAGAUCAAGAUCAAGAUCACAUUCUAGAAAGAAGAGAUACAGGUGAAUUAAUGUGUUUCUGGUGCUUUUAGUAGUGCCAUAGUUAUCAUUAGUGUCUGCUGUGAACAGAGUGUAUAGCGUAUUGUUCUCUCCAUCAGUCUACCAUUCUCAGUGAAGCUCCGUGAUUUGGAUUUGUUGUCUUCAUUUAGAAUUGAAAUUGAGAAUUGUCUUAAGUUAUCAACUGACUCACGGUCUGAGAUUGACUGUACUGUGUUAAAACAUGAUGAAUUUCUUUGUUUUCUCCAUCUUCAGUGAUAAACUGGAUAUUUUAAGAAUUUUUUUGGUACCGAAUCAUAUUGUUUUCCGGUUUUUACUGAGUCUGGUUCUUUCAAGGAUAAUCCCCUCCCCU
Molecule: long non-coding RNA, 485 nt
Filed under: Rattus norvegicus (Norway rat)
Lineage: Eukaryota; Metazoa; Chordata; Mammalia; Rodentia; Muridae
Description: long non-coding RNA NONRATT000052
Source: RNAcentral